RNAcentral lists this ribosomal RNA (500 nucleotides) under uncultured bacterium. RNAcentral describes it as "partial 16S ribosomal RNA". It matches the Rfam family "Bacterial small subunit ribosomal RNA", at positions 30 to 523 of the family's 1533-position model. The record is from RNAcentral.
AUUGAACGCUGGCGGCAUGCCUUACACAUGCAAGUCGAACGGCAGCACGGGAGCAAUCCUGGUGGCGAGUGGCGAACGGGUGAGUAAUAUAUCGGAACGUGCCCAGUCGUGGGGGAUAACGUAGCGAAAGCUACGCUAAUACCGCAUACGAUCUACGGAUGAAAGCGGGGGAUCGCAAGACCUCGCGCGAUUGGAGCGGCCGAUAUCAGAUUAGGUAGUUGGUGGGGUAAAGGCUCACCAAGCCGACGAUCUGUAGCUGGUCUGAGAGGACGACCAGCCACACUGGGACUGAGACACGGCCCAGACUCCUACGGGAGGCAGCAGUGGGGAAUUUUGGACAAUGGGCGCAAGCCUGAUCCAGCAAUGCCGCGUGCAGGAUGAAGGCCUUCGGGUUGUAAACUGCUUUUGUACGGAACGAAACGGCGAGCUCUAAUACAGUUUGCUAAUGACGGUACCGUAAGAAUAAGCACCGGCUAACUACGUGCCAGCAGCCGCCGUAA